AUCCGCUUCGGGGACCGUGCAUGGUAGGCAGUUUGACUGGGGCGGUCUCCUCCUAAAGGGUAACGGAGGAGUGCGAAGGUACGCUAGGCACGGUCGGAAAUCGUGCUGAUAGUGCAAUGGCAAAAGCGUGCUUGACUGCGAGUCCGACAAGACGAGCAGAUACGAAAGUAGGUCAUAGUGAUCCGGUGGCUCUGCAUGGAAGGGCCAUCGCUCAACGGAUAAAAGGUACUCUGGGGAUAACAGGCUGAUACCGCCCAAGAGUUCAUAUCGACGGCGGUGUUUGGCACCUCGAUGUCGGCUCAUCUCAUCCUGGGGCUGUAGCCGGUCCCAAGGGUAUGGCUGUUCGCCAUUUAAAGAGGUACGUGAGCUGGGUUUAAAACGUCGUGAGACAGUUUUGUCCCUAUCUGCCGUGGGCGCUGGAAGAUUGACGGGGGCUGUUCCUAGUACGAGAGGACCGGAAUGGACUCACCUCUGGUGUACCGGUUGUCACGCCAGUGGCACCGCCGGGUAGCUAUGUGGGGAAAGGAUAACCGCUGAAAGCAUCUAAGCGGGAAACCUGCCUGAAGAUAAGUCUUCCUGGAGGCUUGACCUCCCUGAAGAGUCGUUCGAGACCAGGACGUUGAUAGGUCGGGUGUGCAAGCGCUGUGAGGCGUUGAGCUGACCGAUACUAAUUGCUCGUGAAGCUUGAUCCUAUAACCGUGAAGCUUUUCA
This 711-nucleotide ribosomal RNA is filed under the name Sutterella seckii. RNAcentral's name for it is "partial 23S ribosomal RNA". It matches the Rfam family "Bacterial large subunit ribosomal RNA", at positions 2238 to 2925 of the family's 2925-position model. Lineage: Bacteria; Pseudomonadati; Pseudomonadota; Betaproteobacteria; Burkholderiales; Sutterellaceae. The record is from RNAcentral.